GGAUAACCGUAGUAAUUCUAGAGCUAAUACAUGUGUAAAUCUGUAGAUGCAUUAUAGAAGAAACCAUAGGUUCGGCCUAUCGUGAGUAUAUAACUAAUCAUAUCGUAUGCUUAGUAACGAUGUGUCUUCAAGUUUUGCCCUAUCACUUUCGAUGGUAUGUAUGGACUACCAUGGCAGUAACGGGUAACGAAAAUUUGGGUUCGAUUUCGGAGAGGGAGCCUGAAGAUGGCUACCCAUCCAGGAGGCAGCAGCGCGUAAUUACCCAUCCUGACCAGGAGGUAUGACAUAAUCACAAUGCG
RNAcentral lists this ribosomal RNA (299 nucleotides) under Blastocystis sp. RNAcentral describes it as "partial small subunit ribosomal RNA". It matches the Rfam family "Eukaryotic small subunit ribosomal RNA", at positions 141 to 466 of the family's 1831-position model. Lineage: Eukaryota; Bigyra; Opalinata; Blastocystidae. The record is from RNAcentral.